Long non-coding RNA from Antechinus flavipes (yellow-footed antechinus), 4353 nucleotides. RefSeq lists it as uncharacterized. Lineage: Eukaryota; Metazoa; Chordata; Mammalia; Dasyuromorphia; Dasyuridae. The record is from RefSeq and is a predicted model, not a curated record. The transcript has 3 exons.
CUAAUAUUUGGUGAAGAGAAGGUCGAGAUGUCUCCAAAGGUGAAGAUAUGAGAUGAAGGAGCAACCCUUCCUUUCUCUUUGAUUAACAAACAUUUAGCAAAGAUUUGGGUAAGGGCUUGCCCCGCCAUCUCAGUGAGUCUUCCUUUCCCAAUGGUUCAAUAUAGCUUGCAUCUCAGAGCCUCAUUUUGAAGGUUUUCAGCAGGAGUGGUUGCUCUUCCUUGUUUCAGAAGGAAAUGGGUGACUCCAUAUUCAACACUGUUAAUACAGGUCCAAGGAAAUGUGUGAGUCUAAUAUUUGGUGAUAAGAAGGUGGAGAUGCCUCCAGAGGUGAAGAUGUGAGAUGAAGGAGCAACCCUUCCUUUCUCUCUGAUUAACAAACACUUAGCAAAGAGGUGGGUAAGGGCUUGCCCCGCCAUCUCAAUGAGUCUUCCUUUGACAGUGGUUGAAGAUAGCUUGCUUCUGAGAGCCUCAUAUUGAUGAUUUUUGGGAAGAGUGGAUGAUCCUUUUUUUCAGAGGCAAAUGGGUGACUUCACAUGCAAAGCUUCUAAUACAGGUCCAAAGGAGUGUGUGCGUCUAAUAUUUGGUGAAGAGAAGGUCGAGAUGUCUCCAGAGGUGAAGAUGUGAGAUGAAGGAGCAACCCUUCCUUUCUCUUUGAUUAACAAAUAUUUAGCAAAGAUUUGGGUAAGGGCUUGCCCCGCCAUCUCAGUGAGUCUUCCUUUCCCAAUGGUGCAAGAUAGCUUGCCUUUCAGAGCCUCAUUUUGAAGGUUUUCAGCAGGAGUGGGUGAUCUUCCUUAUUUCAGAGGGAAAUGGGUGACUCCACAUGCAAAGCUUCAAAUACAGGUUUGAAGGAGUGUGUGUGUCUAAUAUUUGAUGAAGAGAAGGUCGAGAUGUCUCCAAAGGUGAAGAUAUAAGAUGAAGGAGCAACCCUUCCUUUCUCUUUGAUUAACAAACAUUUAGCAAAGAUUUGGGUAAGGGCUUGCCCCGCCAUCUCAGUGAGUCUUCCUUUCACAACAGUACUAGAUAGCUUGCUUCUCAGAGCCUCAUUUUGUUUUUUGUUUUUUUUUUAAAUAACUUUUUAUUGAUAGAACUCAUGCCAGGAUAAUUUUUUACAACAUUAUCCCUUGCAUUCACUUCUGUUCCGAUGUUUCCCCUCCCUCCCUCCACCCCCUCCUCCAGAUGGCAAGCAAUCAUUUACAUGUUGAAUAGGUUACAGUAUAUCCUGGAUACAAUAUACAUGUGCAGAACCGAACAGUUUUCUUGUUGCACAGGGAGAAUUGAAUUUAGGAGGUAUAAAUAGCCCGGGAAGAAAAACAAAAAUGCAAGCAGUUUAUAUUCAUCUCCCAGUGUUCUUUCUUUGGGUGUAGCUGCUUCUGCCCAUCUUUGAUCAAUUGAAAUUGAAUUAGCUCUCUUUAUCGAAGAGAUCCACUUCCAUCAGAAUACAUCCUCAAACAGUAUCAUUGUUGAGGUAUAUAAUGAUCUCCUGGUCACAGCCUCAUUUUGAAGGUUUUCAGCAGGAGUGGAUGAUCUUCCUUAUUUCGGAGGGAAACGGGUGACUCCACAUGCAAAGCUUCAAAUACAGGUUUGAAGGAGUGUGUGUGUCUAAUAUUUGGUGAAGAGAAGGUCGAGAUGUCUCCAAAGGUGAAGAUAUAAGAUGAAGGAGCAACCCUUCCUUUCUCUUUGAUUAACAAACAUUUAGCAAAGAUUUGGGUAAGGGCUUGCCCCGCCAUCUCAGUGAGUCUUCCUUUCACAACAGUACUAGAUAGCUUGCUUCUCAGAGCCUCAUUUUGAAGGUUUUCAGCAGGACUGGGUGAUCUUCCUUAUUUCGGAGGGAAACGGGUGACUCCACAUGCAAAGCUUCAAAUACAGGUUUGAAGGAGUGUGUGUGUCUAAUAUUUGGUGAAGAGAAGGUCGAGAUGUCUCCAAAGGUGAAGAUAUGAGAUGAAGGAGCAACCCUUCCUUUCUCUUUGAUUAACAAACAUUUAGCAAAGAUUUGGGUAAGGGCUUGCCCCGCCAUCUCAGUGAGUCUUCCUUUCACAACAGUACUAGAUAGCUUGCUUCUCAGAGCCUCAUUUUGAAGGUUUUCAGCAGGACUGGGUGAUCUUCCUUAUUUCGGAGGGAAACGGGUGACUCCACAUGCAAAGCUUCAAAUACAGGUUUGAAGGAGUGUGUGUGUCUAAUAUUUGGUGAAGAGAAGGUCGAGAUGUCUCCAAAGGUGAAGAUAUGAGAUGAAGGAGCAACCCUUCCUUUCUCUUUGAUUAACAAACAUUUAGCAAAGAUUUGGGUAAGGGCUUGCCCCGCCAUCUCAGUGAGUCUUCCUUUCACAACAGUACUAGAUAGCUUGCUUCUCAGAGCCUCAUUUUGAAGAUUUUCAGCGGGAGGGCAUGAUCUUCCUUGUUUCAGAGGGAAAUGGGUGACUCCACAUGCAAAGCUUCAAAUACAUGUUUAGGGAAGUGUGUGUGUGACUUAAUAUUUGGUGGUGAGAAGGUUGAGAUGCCUCCAGAGGUGAUGUGAGAUGAAGGAGCAACCCUUCCUUUCUCUUUGAUUAACAAAUAUUUAGCAAAGAUUUGGGUAAGGGCUUGCCCCGCCAUCUCAGUGAGUCUUCCUUUCCCAACGGUUCAAGAUAGCUUGCUUCUCAGAUCCUCAUUUUGAAGGUUUUCAGCAGGAGUGGGUGAUCUUCCUUAUUUCGGAGGGAAACGGGUGACUUGACAUGCAAAGCUUCGAAUACAGGUUUGAAGGAGUGUGUGUGUCUAAUAUUUGGUGAAGAGAAGGUCGAGAUGUCUCCAAAGGUGAAGAUAUAAGAUGAAGGAGCAACCCUUCCUUUCUCUUUGAUUAACAAACAUUUAGCAAAGAUUUGGGUAAGGGCUUGCCCCGCCAUCUCAGUGAGUCUUCCUUUCACAACAGUACUAGAUAGCUUGCUUCUCAGAGCCUCAUUUUGAAGGUUUUCAGCAGGACUGGGUGAUCUUCCUUAUUUCGGAGGGAAACGGGUGACUCCACAUGCAAAGCUUCAAAUACAGGUUUGAAGGAGUGUGUGUGUCUAAUAUUUGGUGAAGAGAAGGUCGAGAUGUCUCCAAAGGUGAAGAUAUGAGAUGAAGGAGCAACCCUUCCUUUCUCUUUGAUUAACAAAUAUUUAGCAAAGAUUUGGGUAAGGGCUUGCCCCGCCAUCUCAGUGAGUCUUCCUUUCACAACAGUACUAGAUAGCUUGCUUCUCAGAGCCUCAUUUUGAAGGUUUUCAGCAGGACUGGGUGAUCUUCCUUAUUUCGGAGGGAAACGGGUGACUCCACAUGCAAAGCUUCAAAUACAGGUUUGAAGGAGUGUGUGUGUCUAAUAUUUGGUGAAGAGAAGGUCGAGAUGUCUCCAAAGGUGAAGGUAUGAGAUGAAGGAGCAACCCUUCCUUUCUCUUUGAUUAACAAACAUUUAGCAAAGAUUUGGGUAAGGGCUUGCCCCGCCAUCUCAGUGAGUCUUCCUUUCACAACAGUACUAGAUAGCUUGCUUCUCAGAGCCUCAUUUUGAAGGUUUUCAGCAGGAGUGGGUGAUCUUCCUUAUUUCGGAGGGAAAUGGGUGACUCCACAUGCAAAGCUUCAAAUACAGGUUUGAAGGAGUGUGUGUGUUUAAUAUUUGGUGAAGAGAAGGUCGAGAUGUCUCCAAAGGUGAAGAUAUGAGAUGAAGGAGCAACCCUUCCUUUCUCUUUGAUUAACAAACAUUUAGCAAAGAUUUGGGUAAGGGCUUGCCCCGCCAUCUCAGUGAGUCUUCCUUUCACAGCACUACUAGAUAGCUUGCUUCUCAGAGCCUCAUUUUGAAGAUUUUCAGCGGGAGGGCAUGAUCUUCCUUGUUUCAGAGGGAAAUGGGUGACUCCACAUGCAAAGCUUCAAAUACAUGUUUAGGGAAGUGUGUGUAUGACUUAAUAUUUGGUGGUGAGAAGGUUGAGAUGCCUCCAGAGGUGAUGUGAGAUGAAGGAGCAACCCUUCCUUUCUCUUUGAUUAACAAACAUUUAGCAAAGAUUUGGGUAAGGGCUUGCCCCGCCAUCUCAGUGAGUCUUCCUUUCACAACAGUACUAGAUAGCUUGCUUCUCAGAGCCUCAUUUUGAAGGUUUUCAGCAGGACUGGGUGAUCUUCCUUAUUUCGGAGGGAAACGGGUGACUCCACAUGCAAAGCUUCAAAUACAGAUUUGAAGGAGUGUGUGUGUCUAAUAUUUGGUGAAGAGAAGGUCGAGAUGUCUCCAAAGGUGAAGAUAUGAGAUGAAGGAGCAACCCUUCCUUUCUCUUUGAUUAACAAACAUUUAGCAAAGAUUUGGGUAAGGGCUUGCCCCGCCAUCUCAGUGAGUCUUCCUUUCACAACAGUACUAGAUAGCUUGCUUC